GAUGAACGCUGACAGAAUGCUUAACACAUGCAAGUCAACUUGGACUUCGGUUUGGGUGGCGGACGGGUGAGUAACGCGUAAAGAACUUGCCUCACAGAUAGGGACAACAUUUGGAAACGAAUGCUAAUACCUGAUAUUAUGAUUUUAGGGCAUCCUAGAAUUAUGAAAGCUAUAUGCGCUGUGAGAGAGCUUUGCGUCCCAUUAGCUAGUUGGAGAGGUAACGGCUCACCAAGGCGAUGAUGGGUAGCCGGCCUGAGAGGGUGAUCGGCCACAAGGGGACUGAGACACGGCCCUUACUCCUACGGGAGGCAGCAGUGGGGAAUAUUGGACAAUGGACCAAGAGUCUGAUCCAGCAAUUCUGUGUGCACGAUGAAGUUUUUCGGAAUGUAAAGUGCUUUCAGUUGGGAAGAAAAAAAUGACGGUACCAACAGAAGAAGUGACGGCUAAAUACGUGCCAGCAGCCGCGGUAAUACGUAUGUCACAAGCGUUAUCCGGAUUUAUUGGGCGUAAAGCGCGUCUAGGUGGUUAUAUAAGUCUGAUGUGAAAAUGCAGGGCUCAACUCUGUAUUGCGUUGGAAACUGUGUAACUAGAGUACUGGAGAGGUAAGCGGAACUACAAGUGUAGAGGUGAAAUUCGUAGAUAUUUGUAGGAAUGCCGAUGGGGAAGCCAGCUUACUGGACAGAUACUGACGCUGAAGCGCGAAAAGCGUGGGUAGCAAACAGG
Molecule: ribosomal RNA, 723 nt
Filed under: uncultured Fusobacterium sp.
Lineage: Bacteria; Fusobacteriati; Fusobacteriota; Fusobacteriia; Fusobacteriales; Fusobacteriaceae
Description: bacterial SSU rRNA
Rfam family: Bacterial small subunit ribosomal RNA
Source: RNAcentral